AGUGAACGCUGGCGGCGUGCCUAAUACAUGCAAGUCGAACGCGAAAGUCCUUCGGGAUGAGUAAAGUGGCGCACGGGUGAGUAAUGCAUGGGAACGUGCCCUUAAGUGGGGAAUAACGUUUGGAAACGAACGCUAAUACCGCAUAGACUCGAGAGAGUAAAGGUGGCGCCGUAAGGGCUACCGCUUAAGGAUCGGCCCAUGUCCCAUUAGCUAGUUGGCGGGGUAAUAGCCCACCAAGGCGACGAUGGGUAACUGGUCUGAGAGGACGAUCAGUCACACUGGAACUGAGACACGGUCCAGACUCCUACGGGAGGCAGCAGUAGGGAAUAUUGCACAAUGGGGGAAACCCUGAUGCAGCAACGCCGCGUGAGUGAAGAAGGCCCUUGGGUUGUAAAGCUCUUUAGCGAGGGAAGAGGGUUGAUACGGUGAACAAUCGUAUUGGCUGACGGUACCUCGAGAAUAAGCACCUGCUAAU
RNAcentral lists this ribosomal RNA (475 nucleotides) under uncultured bacterium. RNAcentral's name for it is "partial 16S ribosomal RNA". It matches the Rfam family "Bacterial small subunit ribosomal RNA", at positions 29 to 501 of the family's 1533-position model. The record is from RNAcentral.